AAGUCGUAACAAGGUCUCCGUUGGUGAACCAGCGGAGGGAUCAUUACAGAGUUAUACAACUCCCAUACCAUUUGUAAACUUUACUCAGUUAUGCCUCGGCGUGAACUGCGUACGGAGGCAGAGUGGUGUUACCCGGUAGCUUACCCUGUAGGUUACCCUGUAGCGCUACCCUGUACCAACUCCCGCGCAGCCCGCCGGUGGUACACUAAACUCUUGUUUUAUUUUAUCUUCUGAGCGUAUUAUUUUAAUAAUUAAAACUUUCAACAACGGAUCUCUUGGUUCUG
Molecule: unclassified non-coding RNA, 284 nt
Filed under: Apiospora serenensis
Lineage: Eukaryota; Fungi; Ascomycota; Sordariomycetes; Amphisphaeriales; Apiosporaceae
Description: Arthrinium serenense partial internal transcribed spacer region
Rfam family: Eukaryotic small subunit ribosomal RNA (bases 1-46)
Source: RNAcentral